AGGGUUUGAUCAUGGCUCAGGAUUAACGCUGGCGGCGUGCAUAACACAUGCAAGUCGAACGAUGAAACUUAGAUGAUUUCUUCGGAAUGAACUUAAGUGGAUUAGUGGCGAACGGGUGAGUAACGCGUGAGUAACCUGCCUUACACAAGGGGAUAGCCUCUGGAAACGGAGAAUAAUACCCUAUGACAUUAAUACUUCGCAUGAAGUAUUAAUCAAAGUGUUAGCGGUGUAAGAUGGACUUGCGUCUGAUUAGCUAGUUGGUGAGAUAACAGCCCACCAAGGCAACGAUCAGUAGCCGGCUUGAGAGUGUACGGCCACAUUGGGACUGAGACACGGCCCAG
RNAcentral lists this ribosomal RNA (341 nucleotides) under uncultured bacterium. Its description in RNAcentral is "bacterial SSU rRNA". It matches the Rfam family "Bacterial small subunit ribosomal RNA", at positions 8 to 334 of the family's 1533-position model. The record is from RNAcentral.